Molecule: ribosomal RNA, 290 nt
Filed under: uncultured bacterium
Lineage: Bacteria
Description: partial 16S ribosomal RNA
Rfam family: Bacterial small subunit ribosomal RNA
Source: RNAcentral
AACGAACGCUGGCGGCAGGCCUAACACAUGCAAGUCGAACGCUCCGCAAGGGGAGUGGCGCACGGGUGAGUAACACGUGGGAACCUACCUUCUGGUACGGAACAACCAAGGGAAACUUUGGCUAAAACCGUAUACGACCUCCGGGUGAAAGAUUGAUCGCCGGAAGAGGGGCCCGCGUCCGAUUAGGUAGUUGGUGAGGUAACGGCUCACCAAGCCUACGAUCGGUAGCUGGUCUGAGAGGAUGACCAGCCACACUGGGACUGAGACACGGCCCAGACUCCUACGGGGGG